RNAcentral lists this ribosomal RNA (1493 nucleotides) under uncultured Bordetella sp. RNAcentral describes it as "partial 16S-23S ribosomal RNA intergenic spacer". It matches the Rfam family "Bacterial small subunit ribosomal RNA". Lineage: Bacteria; Pseudomonadati; Pseudomonadota; Betaproteobacteria; Burkholderiales; Alcaligenaceae. The record is from RNAcentral.
GGUUCGAUCCUGCUCAGAUUGAACGCUGGCGGGAUGCUUUACACAUGCAAGUCGAACGGCAGCACGGACUUCCGGUCUGGGUGGCGAGUGGCGAACGGGUGAGUAAUGUAUCGGAACGUGCCUAGUAGCGGGGAUAACUACGCGAAAGCGCAGCUUAAUACCGCAUACGCCUUCGGGGGAAAGCGGGGGACCUUCGGCCUCGUAAUUAGAGCGGCCGAUAUCGGAUUAGCUAGUUGGUGGGGUAACGGCUCACCAAGGCGACGAUCCGUAGCUGGUUUGAGAGGACGACCAGCCACACUGGGACUGAGACACGGCCCAGACUCCUACGGGAGGCAGCAGGGAAUUUUGACAAUGGGAAACCCUGAUCCAGCCAUCCCGCGUGUGCGAUGAAGGCCUUCGGGUUGUAAAGCACUUUUGGCAGGAAAAGAAAACGGCACGGGAUAACAAUUCCCCGUGCAACUGACGGUACCUGCAGAAUAAGCACCGGCUAACUGUACGUGCCAGCAGCCGCGGUAAUACGUAGGGGCGCAAGCGUUAAUCGGAAUUACUGGGCGUAAAAGCGUGCGCAGGCGGUUCGGAAAGAAAGAUGUGAAAUCCCAGAGCUUAACUUUGGAACUGCAUUUUUAACCAAUGAGCUAGAGGUGUCAGAGGGAGGUGGAAUUCCGCGUGGUGCAGUGAAAUGGGUGUAGAUAUGCGGAGGAACACCGAUGGCGAAGGCAGCCUCCUCGAUAACACUGACGCUCAUGCACGAAAGCGUGGGGAGCAAACAGGAUUAGAUACCCUGGUAGUCCACGCCCUAAACGAUGUCAACUAGCUGUUGGGGCCUUCGGGCCUGGUAGCGCAGCGCUAACGGGCGUGAAGUUGACCGCCCGGGGAGUACGGUCGCAAGAUUAAAACUCAAAGGAAUUGACGGGGACCCGCACAAGCGGUGGAUGAUGUGGAUUAAUUCGAUGCAACGCGAAAAACCUUACCUACCCUUGACAUGUCUGGAAUCCCGAAGAGAUUUGGGAGUGCUCGCAAGAGAACCGGAACACAGGUGUUGCAUGGCUGUCGUCACUCGUGUCGUGAGAUGUUGGGUUAAGUCCCGCAACGAGCGCAACCCUUGUCAUUAGUUGCUACUUAGGCACUUCCACGAGACUGCCGGUGACAAACCGGAGGAAGGUGGGGAUGACGUCAAGUCCUCAUGGCCCUUAUGGUAGGGCUUCACACGUCAUGGCCAAAUGGCGUCGGGACAGAGGGUCGCCAACCCGCGAGGGGGAGCCAAUCCCAGGAAACCCGAUCGUAGUCCGAUCGCAGUCUGCAACCUCGACUGCAGGAAGUCGGAAUCGCUAGUAAUCGCGGAUCAGCAUGUCGCGGUGAAUACGUUCCCGGGUCUUGUACACACCGCCCGUCACACCAUGGGAGUGGGUUUUACCAGAAGUAGUUAGCCCCAACCGUAAGGAGGGCGAUUACCACGGUAGAUUCAUGACUGUGGUGAAGUCGUAACAAGGUAA